Molecule: long non-coding RNA, 1048 nt
Filed under: Mytilus galloprovincialis (Mediterranean mussel)
Lineage: Eukaryota; Metazoa; Mollusca; Bivalvia; Mytilida; Mytilidae
Source: RNAcentral
UGUGAUUUGGAGUUUCAUAAAUAAGGUCAGUCCUAUAUCUUUCUUUAUUAACUUUGCAAUAACUGUCCUAUAGUUCAUAUUUUACACGUAUGCAUGUUGAGAUUGAAUGUCGAGAACGAGAGCUAAAUUUCAUAACAAAAGAGAACGUAAAUAUAUAUUAAAACAUAAGAAGAGUUGAAUUUUACGAUCAUAUAAAAUAAUACUUCAAUAGCCUAUUAAAUCUGGUAUAAUGAUUUGUAGAUAAAGUUUACAUAUAACUUGAAUGAAUGCGAGUGUCGAGUGGACCGAAAGAAUGUUGUAAUGUUUAAAGGUUAAUCGAAUUAAAGUAAAUCGAUAUAAGAACUAAAAAUAGAUAUCUAGGUUAAUAUUGAUUUUUACUAUAAACAAUAAACAUUGCUUAACAAAGAUUUAUAAUAAACAUUUUUGUUAUACAGGUAUAUUUAAACCUUACUGUAUUAAAGAUGUAGUGUGUAAUAUGGUUUAUAUGGAAAUGUGCCACUUGCACGAUAUGUGAGGUAAGCUAAGUGUAUUUGUAUUCUUGUUUCGCUUAGCUUUAGUUUUUUUAUAUUUGCUUUGCUUUUAUUGUUACUUUUGUGAUUAGUUGCUUUUUGAUUUAACAAGCAUGCAGCUUACAUUUUGUGUAGUUUAGAUUACCAACACAAGUAUUAUUUAAUAGACUUUGGUAUGAGACAGCAUAUGAGAACAUGUAAUACAUUAACUUAAAGUCGAAUUGGUAUAAUUGUAAUUGAGACAAGUAAUUGCUAUGGUAUCCACAUUAUAUAUUUUUGUGAUCAGAUACAUAUGUAUGCAGCUAAAUAAGUUUGCAUGAUAAUGAAUUACGAACAUUAGUUUUAAUUAUUAUUACUUAGUAAACAGAUUUAUCUUUCUGUAAUUUAUAAGUACAUUUAUAUUUUACAGGGCUUUAUUUACAUUACCAUUAUUGAACUUCGUUAGUCUGAAAUAAAAGUUACAGAACCCUAUUCAGAAGUUUAGUUAUCAUUUACUAAAAGCCUCAAGAAACCGGCUUUUACAUAAGCAAUAAUUGUAU